Non-coding RNA from Cordylochernes scorpioides, 77 nucleotides. NCBI's taxonomy places the organism in Eukaryota, Metazoa, Arthropoda, Arachnida, Pseudoscorpiones, Chernetidae. The record is from the annotation of a GenBank genome assembly.
CCCUCGAUAGCUCAGUUGGCAGAGCGAAAGACUUGUAGAUGUAUCAACGGUUUCUGGUUCAAAUCCGACUUGAAGGA